RNAcentral lists this non-coding RNA (25 nucleotides) under Mus musculus (house mouse). The record is from RNAcentral. Lineage: Eukaryota; Metazoa; Chordata; Mammalia; Rodentia; Muridae.
UGCUAUAGUUGCAAAAGAGUGUCCC